CCAUCAAGCAUACCAGUCAUCACACAGACCUCCUCAAAAAACAGUUAUGGAAGGAAACGUGGAUCUGUCACCAAAUCUAGAAACAAACAUGACCUUAAGUUUCCUGUUAUAGACAACCUAUCAGUCAAGCAGAAGUUGAAACACAACAUAACCUAUAAAAAAAAAAAAAAAAGAGAAAAGGGUGCAUGACCCAAAUAAAGCCACCUCAGGGCGCAGGCAAAGUUUUGCAGGCAUGUUCACAAGGCUUUUAAUGAGCACAGGAUCGAGUCUUUAUUUCAUCCAACUUUGCAAUUGGUGGAGAUAAAACGGGUAAUUUAAAAUAAAUUAUUUGAGUUUAAAAUACA
Molecule: long non-coding RNA, 344 nt
Filed under: Anas platyrhynchos platyrhynchos (common mallard)
Lineage: Eukaryota; Metazoa; Chordata; Aves; Anseriformes; Anatidae
Description: lncRNA (ENSAPLG00000025929.1)
Source: RNAcentral